CGUGGUCGGUGGGAGGAGAUGUGGCCCAGCCGUUGAACCAGGCUCUAUCGGUGUCAGGACGCGUUGGUGGAGGAGGAGGGCUGAUGGACGAGAGCCGACGGCGCCAUGGUGGACGAGAGCCGACGGCGCCAUGGUGGACGAGAGCCGACGGCGCCAUGGUGGACGAGAGCCGACGGAGGAGCCAUGGUGGACGAGAGCCGACGGAGCCAUGGUGGACGAGAGCCGACGGAGCCAUGGUGGACGAGAGCCGACGGAGCCAUGGUGGACGAGAGCCGACGGCGCCAUGGUGGAAGAGAGCCGACGGCGCCAUGGUGGACGAGGGCCGACGGAGGAGCCGUGGUGGAGGUCCUGCCUUAAGAAUGAUGUCGGGGUCAGGACGCGUUGGUGGAGGAGGAGGGCUGAUGGAGGAGAGCCGACGGAGCCAUGUUGGACGACAGCCGACGGAGCCAUGGUGGACGACAGCCGACGGAGCCAUGGUGGACGAGAGCCGACGGAGAAGCCGUGGUGGACGAGAGCCGACGGCGCCAUGGUGGACGAGAGCCGACGGAGGAGCCAUGGUGGACGAGAGCCGACGGCGCCAUGGUGGACGAGAGCCGACGGAGGAGCCGUGGUGGAGGUCCUGCCUUAAGAAUGAUCUCGGGACCCGAUGGCCUUGGCUGAUGGAGGAACUGCAUCUGGAGGACGACCAUGAAUCUACCUGCCAACAGGUGGUACUGGUUUGCACUGGUUUGCAUGAACUGAACCUGGUGGACAUGAGGCAAAUUCCCUGCUUUUUGCUCCAGACCAGGACUCUGUGA
This 797-nucleotide long non-coding RNA is filed under the name Gadus morhua (Atlantic cod). RNAcentral describes it as "lncRNA (ENSGMOG00000026711.1)". The record is from RNAcentral. Lineage: Eukaryota; Metazoa; Chordata; Actinopteri; Gadiformes; Gadidae.